RNAcentral lists this ribosomal RNA (283 nucleotides) under uncultured archaeon. RNAcentral describes it as "partial 16S ribosomal RNA". It matches the Rfam family "Archaeal small subunit ribosomal RNA", at positions 696 to 982 of the family's 1478-position model. The record is from RNAcentral.
CGUCAGUGACUACAGUCACUGACAUUAGAUACCCGUGUAGUCCCAGCCGUAAACAAUGUGCGUUAGGUGUGUCGGUAACCACGCGUUACUGAUGCGCCGAAAGAGAAAAUCCGUGAAACGCACCACCUGGGAAGUACGGUCGCAAGGCUGAAACUUAAAGGAAUUGGCGGGGAGCACCACGAACAGGUCGGAGCCUGCGGUUUAAUUGGAUUCAACGCCGGACAUCUACACCGGAUAAGACAGCUGAAUGAUUGUCAAUCUGAAGGUUUUACAUGACUAGCUG